Molecule: transfer RNA, 73 nt
Filed under: Cyrtodactylus louisiadensis
Lineage: Eukaryota; Metazoa; Chordata; Lepidosauria; Squamata; Gekkonidae
Description: tRNA-Gln
Rfam family: tRNA
About the family: Transfer RNA (tRNA) molecules are approximately 80 nucleotides in length. Their secondary structure includes four short double-helical elements and three loops (D, anti-codon, and T loops).
Source: RNAcentral
UAGGUGGUAGUAUAAUUUGGUAGUACGUAGGGUUUUGGACCCUGUGGUGCGGGAUCGUGUCCCGUUUGCCUAG